GACGAACGCUGGCGGCGUGCUUAACACAUGCAAGUCGAACGGAAAGGCCCUGCUUUUGUGGGGUGCUCGAUUGGCGAACGGGUGAGUAACACGUGAGUAACCUGCCCUUGACUGUGGGAUAACUUCAGGAAACUGGGGCUAAUACCGGAUAGGAGCUCCUGCUGCAUGGUGGGGGUUGGAAAGUUUCGGCGGUUGGGGAUGGACUCGCGGCUUAUCAGCUUGUUGGUGGGGUAGUGGCUUACCAAGGCUUUGACGGGUAGCCGGCCUGAGAGGGUGACCGGCCACAUUGGGACUGAGAUACGGCCAAGAGUCCUACGGGAGGCAGCAGUGGGAGAUAUUGCAAAAUGGGCGGCAGCCUGAUGCAGCAACGCCGCGUGCGGGAUGACGGCCUUCGGGUUGUAAACCGCUUUCGCCUGUGACGAAGCGUGAGUGACGGUAAUGGGUAAAGAAGCACCGGCUAACUACGUG
RNAcentral lists this ribosomal RNA (468 nucleotides) under uncultured bacterium. RNAcentral's name for it is "partial 16S ribosomal RNA". It matches the Rfam family "Bacterial small subunit ribosomal RNA", at positions 28 to 507 of the family's 1533-position model. The record is from RNAcentral.